Molecule: ribosomal RNA, 253 nt
Filed under: uncultured bacterium
Lineage: Bacteria
Description: partial 16S ribosomal RNA
Rfam family: Bacterial small subunit ribosomal RNA
Source: RNAcentral
UACGAAGGGGGCUAGCGUUGCUCGGAAUCACUGGGCGUAAAGCGCACGUAGGCGGAUCUUUAAGUCAGGGGUGAAAUCCUGGAGCUCAACUCCAGAACUGCCUUUGAUACUGGGGAUCUCGAGUCCGGAAGAGGUGAGUGGAACUCCAAGUGUAGAGGUGAAAUUCGUAGAUAUUCGGAAGAACACCAGUGGCGAAGGCGGCUCACUGGUCCGGUACUGACGCUGAGGUGCGAAAGCGUGGGGAGCAAACAGG